Molecule: ribosomal RNA, 492 nt
Filed under: uncultured bacterium
Lineage: Bacteria
Description: partial 16S ribosomal RNA
Rfam family: Bacterial small subunit ribosomal RNA
Source: RNAcentral
AGUGAACGCUGGCGGUAGGCCUAACACAUGCAAGUCGAACGGCAGCACAGUAAGAGCUUGCUCUUACGGGUGGCGAGUGGCGGACGGGUGAGGAAUACAUCGGAAUCUACUUUUUCGUGGGGGAUAACGUAGGGAAACUUACGCUAAUACCGCAUACGACCUACGGGUGAAAGUAGGGGAUCUUCGGACCUUGCGCGAUUGAAUGAGCCGAUGUCGGAUUAGCUAGUUGGCGGGGUAAAGGCCCACCAAGGCGACGAUCCGUAGCUGGUCUGAGAGGAAGAUCAGCCACACUGGAACUGAGACACGGUCCAGACUCCUACGGGAGGCAGCAGUGGGGAAUAUUGGACAAUGGGCGCAAGCCUGAUCCAGCCAUACCGCGUGGGUGAAGAAGGCCUUCGGGUUGUAAAGCCCUUUUGUUGGGAAAGAAAAGCAGCAGGUUAAUACCCCGCUGUUCUGACGGUACCCAAAGAAUAAGCACCGGCUAACUUCGUG